UGUGUUCUUGAUUCGUCGUAGAUGUGUGAUCGUAUUAAUGUCUUAGUUUAUAAACCCAAUUCGUUGUUCGUUUCGUGUUUGCGUUUCCGCUUGAAGGAUGUCAGCUUCUCUUGUUUCUCGUGCGACGUAAGGCGGUGACGAUGAAGAUCACAGUAAAGAUAACACGUCUUAAUUGUUGUAACAGAUUAGCUAAUUUAUUCUACUCAGUGAUUCCAAAUACAGAUUAUAUGCGUCUGAUUACACACUACACAAAACCCGCGGCUGAGAAAGUCUGAAACUAUCACUGCCGUGCGGCGACAUAUGUAUUUACUCCAGCCUGAAAAGCUCUCUCUCGUGCGACGUACGCAUUUGCUUUCUUGAUCGCGUGGCGACCUGUCACGCGCGACGAGUUAUUCCAGAACCUUCUACGGAAAUAUCGUCACGCACGACGAGUGACCUUCUCGAACCAUCUACGAAAAUGACGCUGUGCUUGCGGGCCCGAAAACCCGCGUAGCACGGCUACACACGCCCCCUACCAGAAAAUGUUUCUCGACUCAAUUGUCAAAAACAGGCGUCUCAAAAUUUCCCCGUACUAUUUGUACAAUUAUGCCGCGUAUGCCGUUGCGCAUAGCGUUUCGCGCUUACAACUAGUUUCAACUACUACUACUACUAUGUGAAUACGUGCACUAUGAUCGCGAUAUGUGACCUAAAACUUUCCUUAACUAAGGUACCCUUAACAAACUUCACUAACGCGCGUGUAAACAUUAAAUUCAAACCAACACGUUGAUAAACACAGCUAAUGAUACUCGUAAGGGCCUUACUCGAAUUCAAACGUAGGCCUGCAUGCGUGUACGACACUACACUAUGUGCUCAGCGCUAAUCUUACGCGUAGUGCUAAUUCGAGCCGCCACGAGAAAGGCUGAAUUAUAGGGAAAAGGCACGGACAUAAUAUGAAGGAGAUACAAAGGAUCUCUCAGCGUCUCGUCCAUGCGUCUCCCAGUAAACGUGUGAGCCAAUUCAUCCGGGUCGUAUCUCUUCUUGAUUCGGCAGGCUCUUGUACAAUGACAAUGGGCACCAUUAGAUGCGCCCUUCUUGGAGCCGUCGUUAUGACAUCGACUUCCACUAUCGUAUCGCUAGGCUCGCUCACGUUGCCUUCAUGCGCAGUUAAUCUUUUACUGCCUGUGUCGGGGAACUUGAUUCCUCGCUUGCUUUUCGUCUUCUGGCCGAGUGCUCACUGCCGGUAUCCUCUUCUAAAUCUGAUUCCACAUUAAAGCUAGUGGAUUCGUUUUCCGACUCCGAUGGGUUGUAGAUGAUCGUCUCAUCAUCACUUUCGCCAAGUUGCUGAGUGGUGUUAGGCUCCUGACCCUCAAUGUCCCUUGCAGAUGAAUCCUUCGCGAUUGGAUCAACUGCACGAGACAUUGGCGGCUGCGGUUGCUCCGUAGAAUCCGCUGAAGCCUGUGCCUUGGGCGUUGUGAUGAAAUGACUUAGGGGAAGUUCGUCUUUCUCAUCGAACUCAUCAUUACCACUACCCUCCUCGUCAGGUGGAUAUGCCAAUGUCGCUGCCGACGUCCUCUCUCUGGCACAUCUUCUUGCUGUGUCGGCUUGCUGCAGUCCCACCUAGCUUGUGGGUGCGCUGCCCGAAUGUUUUCCACGUACGAGAUCACUUCUCGCGUCGUAAUCUCGUGUUGGAUCAGGUAUUUUUUCGGCGUCAAUACCUGAAUCACCGUGUAGUACGGCUGCCAGGGCGACCCAGGUUUCCUUAUAGUGUUAGGCUUUAACACUGGAUCAUGGUAGUAUACCGGAUCUCCUACUUCGAAGUCUAAUAGGUGUUGUUCGAAGGUUUGGCUGAAAAUGAUUAUGUUAUCUAUGUAUUGAAUGGCACACCUGUGAUGUAAUCCAUUUAAUACGGUAUCUAAUAAUCUUUGAUAAACGCUAGGCGCGUUUGAUAAGCCAAAUGAAAGGACAUAUCUUCUGGAAUGCACCUCUGCAGGUGAUAAAACAAAUCUUGGCUUUGUCCUCCUCUGCCAUUGCUAUUUGGAAGUAGCCCGACUUUAGGUCAAGAGUUGAAUAAAAACGUGAGUUUCCUAACGAUCCAAGGAUAUCUUGUAUAUACAGGGUAAUUGAUAAUAUGUGUCCUUCUUUGUGACCUUGUUAAGCUACCUGUAGUCUAUGACCAUUCGUCAUUCAGGUUCAUCUUUCUUGUGAACGAUGAAGGUUGGACUUGCCCACGCGCUAUUGCUGGGUUCUAUUAUCUUGGCUUCUUAUAGCUGAUUCACAUGAUGAUCAAUCAUAGGUCGAUAAUUAAUCGGUGUUCAAUAUGGCGUGUCGUAUAGGUGGGUGUCCUUCGGUGUCUAUUGUCAUCGUUACUAAGUUGGUACGUCCUAGGUCAAGACUGCUUUCAGCAAACAAGUCGCUGUUUUGCAUUAAUAGCUCCUCUAGAGCUCCACGCUGAUGUACUGGUACGUGAUCAAGGUUGACCUUGGGUAGAGUAGGCGUUGAUAAAUUUUCUUUAUGUUUAUUGCUUGUCACAUAGUGUGCACCUGCAUGUUUAGAUGCCUUUUCUAUCUUGACGAAUGCUAUCUGUUUUUCAUUAACUGAUUGGACCAAGGCGAUGACACUAUUAUUGUCAAACGAAUAUAUUGUGUCUGUAGUAUUGACCAUCGGAAACUUGAUACAAUGAGCCUUGUUAACAAUGACUAAUGUUUCUACAGGGAAUAUACCUGGCUGAUCUCGCAGUGCAGGUAACACAUCUGUUCCUGUAAUCACUACUGUUGUGUUGGCAGGUACGCCUUUUCUUAACUUGCCUUCGCAGAUGACGACCGUACGUGGCAGAAUCUGUACUUUUUUCUUGAGUAGAACAAGCUGAAUAUGUUUAUCCUCUUGUUCUGCUAACGCUGUCUUUAAUGUGACUACUGAUCUUCCCACUGAUAAAAUGCCUUUUUGACAAUCGAUCCUCAUACCGACUGUC
This is a long non-coding RNA of Priapulus caudatus, 2947 nucleotides long. RefSeq lists it as uncharacterized. The record is from RefSeq and is a predicted model, not a curated record. The transcript is spliced from 2 exons. NCBI's taxonomy places the organism in Eukaryota, Metazoa, Priapulida, Priapulimorpha, Priapulimorphida, Priapulidae.